Molecule: unclassified non-coding RNA, 736 nt
Filed under: Hevea brasiliensis (rubber tree)
Lineage: Eukaryota; Viridiplantae; Streptophyta; Magnoliopsida; Malpighiales; Euphorbiaceae
Source: RNAcentral
AGAAUACACAUAUAUGCCUUCUGCAAACAAAUAGACGAUAAGUAUUGGAGAUUGAAAAAGAUGUAAGCUACGCGAAAAACAAUCUAAAAUGAAAUCCAUCUGAACAAAGGGGAAAAUGUUUAGAAACAAAUCACUUUCUGGACAAAACAUACAGCUGAGAGGGUAUGAGAUGCCAAUUAUUGUUGUUUGUAGUAACCUUGCUGAUGUGGUGGAUACUGAUUCGGGAUGGUGUAAGGAGGUCGAGGAAUAGAUCCAGGUUGUGGAACAUGAGCGUUGUAGUAUGGCCCUUGCCACCCCGGAUAUGCUGGUUGACCAUACUCGUGGUUCGUUGAAGGUUGUUGAGGUGCCUGAGGAUGUGGUGGGUAGGGACUUGUACCCGGUGCAGGAGCAGGAGGCGAGUGGUAAGAAGGGGGUGGCUGUUGUGGGGAAUUGUACAUGGGAUGGGGUUGGGGAUGAGGUUGAGGAUGGGGCUGAGCAUAACCACCAACGGGCGACUGCUCAUGAGGUGGUUGGUAGUAGGAUUGAGGAGGGCGAACGUCAGAUUGUGGCGAAUGAGACCGUUGUGUGUGCGGUCCUACUGAAGGAUAGGUAUUGUUAUAGCCACCAGCUGAGUUUUUACUGUCCUGGAAACUGAGGCCAGCCAUUUGUCUUUGGACAUCUUCCAUCAUUUCACGGCACUGGAUGUUUCUCGUCAUCACGAAAUCACUGCAUUGCUGCUUCACAUUAGUGAUUGCAU